UACGGAGGGUGCGAGCGUUAUUCGGAAUUAUUGGGUGUAAAGCGCGUGUAGGCGGCCUGGUAAGUCAGAUGUGAAAGUUCCGGGCUUAACCCGGAAAGUGCAUUUGAAACUGCCAGGCUUGAGUACGGGAGAGGAAGGUGGAAUUCUCAGUGUAGAGGUGAAAUUCGUAGAUACUGGGAGGAACACCGGUGGCGAAGGCGACCUUCUGGACCGAGACUGACGCUGAGACGCGAAAGCGUGGGGAGCAAACAGGAUUAGAUACCCUCGUA
Molecule: ribosomal RNA, 269 nt
Filed under: uncultured prokaryote
Description: partial 16S ribosomal RNA
Rfam family: Bacterial small subunit ribosomal RNA
Source: RNAcentral